ACAGUACAAACUGAUCAGGCCGAUAAAUGAUUUUAUUUAUGGAGCCGGGCCAUAAUAGUGGCAACAGGAUAUUUAAUACCUGUGGGACAGUA
This is a non-coding RNA of Clostridium botulinum B, 92 nucleotides long. The record is from Rfam. NCBI's taxonomy places the organism in Bacteria, Bacillati, Bacillota, Clostridia, Eubacteriales, Clostridiaceae.